GCUGGAGUGCAGGGGUGCCAUCUCAGCUCACUGCAACCUUCAACCUUCACCUCCUGGGCUCAAGCAAUCCUCCCACCUCAGUCUCCCAAGUAGCUGGGACUACAGGCACAUGCCACCACACCAAGCUAAUUUUUUUAUUUUUAGUGGAGACAAGGUUUCACCAUUUUGGCCAGGCUGGUCUCGAACUCCAACCUCAGGCUCCUGGAUGGAUCUCUCAUGUCUCUCCCUCCUUCGGGUUCCAGACUCCUGGAGAGCUUUCUCAGCAGCACCCCAUACCUUCCCUGCCAUGGUGCCUGCUAGCAGCCAGGUUGGAAGCUUCAGCCACACCAACAAGGUACAACCUGCAUCACAUCAUCAGCCUGGCCCCCCGGGUUGGUUUGUUUUUCCAGGGCAUAAAUGUAUUUUAUGGAGAAAUAAAAUGCACAAUAAUAAAAAGGGGGAGGGGAGUGUUUCCACAGGCCCACAUUUUAUCCAAAGGGGCUGUGAUUUGGCAUCCCUGGCUCGAAUAUGAAAUUAUUACACAAGAAUUGACUCUCGGUGUCUCCGAUGCUCCCUGGGAUGAUUGCUUCUAUAACUUAUGGAGACAGCUGAGCGUUUGUAUUCAAGUGAUCACAUAAAUUAAUAUCCAUAUGUGGAAAUGGUGUGCUGGGAGCUGGCCUGGUUUAAGAAUGCAUUCCUUGUAAUGAUCCUUGCACCUGAAGAAAAAUGCCCAUCCAGGGGCCCCGAGCGUAGGUCUGGAAUACUCUCGUCAUGGCUCAGAAGGUUUGAAGUAAAAUAAGGCAUGCAAAAUGUUACCCCUUUAAAGUUGUGAAGAACUGGGUGCUGUUUUCGGCCAUGAUGUCAUCAGAGGGAAUGAAGGGAACUGC
This 866-nucleotide long non-coding RNA is filed under the name Homo sapiens (human). RNAcentral describes it as "HSALNT0281702". Lineage: Eukaryota; Metazoa; Chordata; Mammalia; Primates; Hominidae. The record is from RNAcentral.